UGGGGAAUAUUGGACAAUGGGCGCAAGCCUGAUCCAGCCAUGCCGCGUGAGUGAUGAAGGCCUUAGGGUUGUAAAGCUCUUUCACCCACGACGAUAAUGACGGUAGUGGGAGAAGAAGCCCCGGCUAACUUCGUGCCAGCAGCCGCGGUAAUACGAAGGGGGCUAGCGUUGUUCGGAAUCACUGGGCGUAAAGCGCGCGUAGGCGGACCGUUAAGUCGGGAGUGAAAUCCUGGGGCUCAACCCCAGAACAGCCUUCGAUACUGGCGGUCUCGAGUCCGGGAGAGGUGAGUGGAACUGCCAGUGUAGAGGUGAAAUUCGUAGAUAUUGGCAAGAACACCAGUGGCGAAGGCGGCUCACUGGCCCGGUACUGACGCUGAGGUGCGAAAGCGUGGGGAGCAAACA
This 402-nucleotide ribosomal RNA is filed under the name uncultured prokaryote. Its description in RNAcentral is "bacterial SSU rRNA". It matches the Rfam family "Bacterial small subunit ribosomal RNA", at positions 355 to 774 of the family's 1533-position model. The record is from RNAcentral.